Non-coding RNA from Mycena crocata, 95 nucleotides. The record is from the annotation of a GenBank genome assembly. Lineage: Eukaryota; Fungi; Basidiomycota; Agaricomycetes; Agaricales; Mycenaceae.
GACCUGAUGGUGCAGUGGUUAGCACGUCUGUUUAAAUUUAGUGAUAAUCCAGGGUCCUUGAACAGGAAACCUCCGUUCGACUCGGGGUCAGGUCU